This 160-nucleotide unclassified non-coding RNA is filed under the name soil metagenome. RNAcentral's name for it is "partial internal transcribed spacer 1". The record is from RNAcentral.
CUGAAGAUUUGGUCCGCAAGACCGCUCUUCCACCCUUUGUUUACCAUACCAUGUUGCUUUGGCGAGUCGCCCUAGGCCCACCGGCUUCGGCUGGUGCGUGCUCGCCAGAGACCUCAAACAACCUGAUUUUUGUGUUUGUCUGAACAACUUUUAAAUAUUA